GCCAGGCAUGGCAGCAUAUGCCUGUAAUCCCAGCUACUUGGGGGGCUGAGGUGGGAGGAUCACUCGAGCCUAGGAGUUGGAGUCUGCAGUGAGCAAUGAUGGUGCCACUGUACCCCAGCCUAGGCAUCAGAGUGAGACCUUAUCUCUU
Unclassified non-coding RNA from Pongo abelii (Sumatran orangutan), 148 nucleotides. It matches the Rfam family "Metazoan signal recognition particle RNA". Rfam says of the family: The signal recognition particle (SRP) is a universally conserved ribonucleoprotein. It is involved in the co-translational targeting of proteins to membranes. The eukaryotic SRP consists of a 300-nucleotide 7S RNA and six proteins: SRPs 72, 68, 54, 19, 14, and 9. The record is from Ensembl. NCBI's taxonomy places the organism in Eukaryota, Metazoa, Chordata, Mammalia, Primates, Hominidae.